Long non-coding RNA from Chenopodium quinoa (quinoa), 428 nucleotides. RefSeq lists it as uncharacterized. The record is from RefSeq and is a predicted model, not a curated record. NCBI's taxonomy places the organism in Eukaryota, Viridiplantae, Streptophyta, Magnoliopsida, Caryophyllales, Amaranthaceae. The transcript is spliced from 2 exons.
UGAGCAAUACUUUGUAUAUAAAUGUAGCUUUAGAAGUGUACAUAGUAUACCCACUAAUUUUAAACAACUGAUACUUAAACACGACCAAUUCAAGAAAUAUGAAGAAAUUCUUUGGGCUAUUGUUGUUGCUUAUCUUUUUAUUUGCUUCUGAGAUGAAUAUGGUGGCCGAGGUUGAUGGUGCCACAUGCGAAAAACCAAGCCAGUUCUUCAAAGGUCCCUGCGGUACUCAUGAGGCUUGUAGGCAAUCUUGUACUAAAGAGAAUUGGCCUGUUGGAGUUUGUGACUUUUUCAAAUGUAAAUGUCAAAGGCCUUGUUAAGCACUACAGUGUGCUUAACUGCUUAUGUACUUAUGUACGUGUGCUCCUCGUUGCUUUAUAUAACAAGCAUGACUAAAAUCAAAGCAAUAAUAUCCCUAGUUCCCUACUAAA